Molecule: small RNA, 109 nt
Filed under: unclassified sequences
Description: IMPDH RNA
Rfam family: IMPDH RNA
Source: Rfam by way of RNAcentral
AUCCGUGGAUAUCGGGUGCGCACCGCUCCUCCUCCGGCUGUUCUCCUUCACAGCUAUGACCCAUGCGCCGCACAGGCAGUGUCCCGCUUCGUGUGCAAAAGGGCUCGUC